GUGAUUCUGAGGCCUAGAGUAGUAUCUUUCUAUGGUCUGUUGGCCAUGUCAGAACUUUAGAAAUGUCAUGGUCAAUUCAUUAGAAGGAAACAACU
Molecule: small nucleolar RNA, 95 nt
Organism: Cavia porcellus (domestic guinea pig)
Lineage: Eukaryota; Metazoa; Chordata; Mammalia; Rodentia; Caviidae
Source: Ensembl